CAGCAGCCGCGGGAAUACGAAGGGUGCAAGCGUUAAUCGGAAUUACUGGGCGUAAAGCGUGCGUAGGCGGUUUGUUAAGUCUGUUGUGAAAUCCCCGGGCUCAACCUGGGAAUGGCAAUGGAUACUGGCAAGCUAGAGUGUGUCAGAGGAUGGUGGAAUUCCCGGUGUAGCGGUGGAAUGCGUAGAGAUCGGGAGGAACAUCAGUGGCGAAGGCGGCCAUCUGGGACAACACUGACGCUGAGGCACGAAAGCGUGGGGAGCAAACAGGAUUAGAUACCCCAGUAGUCCCUGUCUCUUAUAC
This 301-nucleotide ribosomal RNA is filed under the name uncultured bacterium. Its description in RNAcentral is "partial 16S ribosomal RNA". It matches the Rfam family "Bacterial small subunit ribosomal RNA", at positions 509 to 807 of the family's 1533-position model. The record is from RNAcentral.